UGGGGAAUAUUGCACAAUGGGCGAAAGCCUGAUGCAGCAACGCCGCGUGCGGGAUGACGGCCUUCGGGUUGUAAACCGCUUCCAGCAGGGACGAAGGUUUUCUGACGGUACCUGCAGAAGAAGCACCGGCUAACUACGUGCCAGCAGCCGCGGUGAUACGUAGGGUGCGAGCGUUGUCCGGAAUUAUUGGGCGUAAAGAGCUUGUAGGCGGUCCGUUGCGUCGGAAGUGAAAACUCAGGGCUUAACCCUGAGCCUGCUUUCGAUACGGGCGGACUUGAGGGAUGUAGGGGAGAACGGAAUUCCUGGUGGAGCGGUGGAAUGCGCAGAUAUCAGGAGGAACACCAGUGGCGAAGGCGGUUCUCUGGACAUUUCCUGACGCUGAGAAGCGAAAGCGUGGGGAGCAAACAGGCUUAGAUACCCUGGUAGUCCACGCCGUAAACGGUGGCACUAGGUGUGGGACCCAUUCCACGGGUUCCGUGCCGUAGCUAACGCAUUAAGUGCCCCGCCUGGGGUAGUACGGCCGCAAGGCUAAAACC
This 536-nucleotide ribosomal RNA is filed under the name uncultured bacterium. RNAcentral's name for it is "partial 16S ribosomal RNA". It matches the Rfam family "Bacterial small subunit ribosomal RNA", at positions 355 to 901 of the family's 1533-position model. The record is from RNAcentral.